GACGAACGCUGGCGGCGUGCUUAACACAUGCAAGUCGAACGGAAAGGCCCUGCUUUUGUGGGGUGCUCGAGUGGCGAACGGGUGAGUAACACGUGAGUAACCUGCCCUUGACUUUGGGAUAACUUCAGGAAACUGGGGCUAAUACCGGAUAGGAGCUCCUGCAGCAUGGUGGGGGUUGGAAAGUUUCGGCUGUUGGGGAUGGACUCGCGGCUUAUCAGCUUGUUGGUGGGGUAGUGGCUUACCAAGGCUUUGACGGGUAGGCGGCCUGAGAGGGUGACCGGCCACAUUGGGACUGAGAUACGGACCAGACUCCAACGGGAGGCAGCAGGGGGGAAUAUUGCACAAUGGGCGGAAGCCUGAUGCAGCAACGCCGCGUGCGGGAUGACGGCCUUCGGGUUGUAAACCGCUUUCGCCUGUGACGAAGCGUGAGUGACGGUAAUGGGUAAAGAAGCACCGGCUAACUACGUG
Molecule: ribosomal RNA, 468 nt
Filed under: uncultured bacterium
Lineage: Bacteria
Description: partial 16S ribosomal RNA
Rfam family: Bacterial small subunit ribosomal RNA
Source: RNAcentral